AUUGCCUACAGAGAAAUUGAUUGCGGUUACUACGGCAAAAAUCCCCAAAUCAAUUCGACAAGAGAGAAUCCCUAAACCUAACUCCCAAGACGACGUCGCCGCUCGCACUACCGUAGCCGCCGGGAAACCUCUGUCGAGUUACUAAAGAGAAGGCAAAUCCCUGUGAGUGAGUUGUGGGCAAUUACAUGCAAGCCACAGAGGAGAUAUUAUGGGGUGAUUUAGUGUGAAUUGCUUAUUGGAUGGUGACUAUUUUAUUUUUUCUCCCUUAAUUACAACAAAAUAUGUAUUUAAACAUUUAUCACAACAAUUGUACACCAAAUAAUAUAUGUGCCCAACAAUUUUCUCAAAUUACUAACCAAAAUAAAAUUUGAAAAUUUCAUAAA
Molecule: long non-coding RNA, 383 nt
Organism: Prunus persica (peach)
Lineage: Eukaryota; Viridiplantae; Streptophyta; Magnoliopsida; Rosales; Rosaceae
Exons: 2
Source: RefSeq, a predicted model, not a curated record